CCCCAUAACUACAAUGACCCCAAAGUCAUCGUGACCCCAAACCCACCAUGACCCCAUACCCACAGUGACCCCAUAGCCACAACGACUCUAUAGCCAGUGUGACCCCAUACCCACCAUGACCCCAUAACCACAGUGACCCCAAACCCACAAUGACCCCAAACCCACCAUGACCCCAUACCCACAAUGGCCCCAUAACCACAAUGACCCCAUACCCACAGUGACCCCAUACCUACAGUGACCCCAUAACCACCACGACCCCAUAACCACAAUGACCCCAUAGCCAGUGUGACCCCAUAUCCUCAAUGACCCUAUAACCAUCAUGACUCCAUACCAAGCAUGAUCCCAUAGCCACAAUGACCCCAUAACCACAAUGACCCCAUAACCACCAUGACCCCAUAACCACCGUGACCCCAUACCCACCGUGACCCCAUAAGCACAGUGACCCCAUAGCCACAAUGAUCCCAUAACCAUCACGACCCCAUACCCACAAUGACCCCAUACCCACCAUGACCCCAUAACCACCAUGACCCCAAACCCACAAUGACCCCAAACCCACAACGACCCCAUACCCACAAUGACCCCAUAACCACCAUGACCCCAAACCCGCAAUGACCCCAAACCCACAAUGACCCCAUAUCCUCAAUGACCCCAUACCCACAGUGACCCCAUACCCUCAAUGUCCCCAUAUCCACCAUGAUCCCAUAACCACAGGUGACCCCAUAACCACAGUGACCCCAUACCCACAGGGACCCCAAACCCACAAUGACCCCAUAACCACCAUGACCCCAUAACCACCACGACCCCAUACCCACAGUGACCCCAAUACCACCGUGACCCCAUAACCACCACGACCCCAAACCCACAAUGACCCCACAGCCGAUUUGGGGUUGGCGCCUCCUUUAUUGCACAGAUCAGUGGGGACAGCAAUGGGGUUUGGGGUCACCCCAAGAAGAAAUAUGGGAUGGUUUGGGGUCACCCCAAGAAGAAAUAUGGGAUGAGAUUGGGGUCAUCCCAAGAAAUCUGGGAUGGAGAGGUUUGGGGUCACCUGGGG
This 1051-nucleotide long non-coding RNA is filed under the name Chrysolophus pictus (golden pheasant). RNAcentral's name for it is "lncRNA (ENSCPIG00010009874.1)". The record is from RNAcentral. Lineage: Eukaryota; Metazoa; Chordata; Aves; Galliformes; Phasianidae.